Molecule: ribosomal RNA, 529 nt
Filed under: uncultured bacterium
Lineage: Bacteria
Description: bacterial SSU rRNA
Rfam family: Bacterial small subunit ribosomal RNA
Source: RNAcentral
AUAGAUACCCAGGUAGUCCACGCCGUAAACGAUGAGUGCUAAGUGUUAGAGGGUUUCCGCCCUUUAGUGCUGCAGCUAACGCAUUAAGCACUCCGCCUGGGGAGUACGGCCGCAAGGCUGAAACUCAAAGGAAUUGACGGGGGCCCGCACAAGCGGUGGAGCAUGUGGUUUAAUUCGAAGCAACGCGAAGAACCUUACCAGGUCUUGACAUCCUCUGCCAACCCUAGAGAUAGGGCGUUCCCUUUCGGGGGACAGAGUGACAGGUGGUGCAUGGUUGUCGUCAGCUCGUGUCGUGAGAUGUUGGGUUAAGUCCCGCAACGAGCGCAACCCUUGAUCUUAGUCGCCAGCAUUCAGUUGGGCACUCUAAGGUGACUGCCGGUGACAAACCGGAGGAAGGUGGGGAUGACGUCAAAUCAUCAUGCCCCGUUAUGACCUGGGCUACACACGUGCUACAAUGGAUGGUACAAAGAGCUGCGAACCCGCGAGGGUAAGCGAAUCUCAUAAAGCCAUUCUCAGUUCGGAUUGUAGG